RNA transcript from Macaca mulatta (Rhesus monkey), 777 nucleotides. It is a transcript of the gene named KHDC1-like protein, with no coding region annotated. The record is from RefSeq and is a predicted model, not a curated record. NCBI's taxonomy places the organism in Eukaryota, Metazoa, Chordata, Mammalia, Primates, Cercopithecidae.
CAGCUCAGCCUCCCAAAGUGCUGUGAUUACAGGCAUGAGCCACUGCGUCCGGCCUCAGAAUCUCCAGAAGGAGGAUGUGGUGGAAGAUACCGAGCAAUGGGAUAGUAAAGAGUUGGGGACAGUUUCUUAGACUUUCCCCUAUUCUGAAUCAGGUGGGAGCAGAGCAUGGACAUGGGAACAGGUGCUCUCAGCAAGGAGCCGUGGUGGACCCUACCCGAAAACUUUCAUGCUCCAAUUGUGUUCCACAUGGAAGAGGACCAGGAGGAGCUCAUAUUCGGACUUGAUGACACAUACCUUCGCUGCAUUGAGCUGCACAGCCACACCCUUAUUCAACUGGAGAGUUGUUUUACAGCUACAGGCCAGACUCGUGUGACCGUAGUCGGACCACCAAUGGCAAAGCAGUGGCUGCUGCUCAUGUUCCGUUCCGUGGGGAGCCACUACUCCAAGUGUCACGCUCAAGGUCUGAAGAUGCUCGAGCGUGUCCGAAGCCGGCCCCUGACCAACGACGACCUGGUCGCCUCCAUUAGCCUGCCACCCUACACCGGAGACUGAUCUCCCCUGGGAAGCGGGGAUGAGAGGAGAAGUCUUGGCUUCACUUUUGCUGAGAAAGACAUGAAAAACAAUGAAGAAAGUUUGAAUCUGUGGCCAGACCUGCCCCUCUCAGGUCUUCUAGGCAUGUGUCUGAGGCAAAUCUCCUGAAUGCAAGAAGUGUUAUUGGUAAAGCAAUCCAAUAAAAUAAGCUACCUAUGAAAAAAAAAAAAAAAAGAGUUGGGGACA